This 502-nucleotide ribosomal RNA is filed under the name uncultured Diversispora. RNAcentral's name for it is "SSU rRNA". It matches the Rfam family "Eukaryotic small subunit ribosomal RNA", at positions 591 to 1092 of the family's 1831-position model. The record is from RNAcentral. Lineage: Eukaryota; Fungi; Glomeromycota; Glomeromycetes; Diversisporales; Diversisporaceae.
CCAAUAGCGUAUAUUAAAGUUGUUGCAGUUAAAAAGCUCGUAGUUGAACUUCGGGGUUUACUCAUUGGUCAGGCUUAAUUGUCUGUACUGGUGAGAUGAAUCUCUACCUUCUGAGGAACUUUCAUGUCAUUUAUUUGGUGUGAUUGGAAAUCAGGACUGUUACUUUGAAAAAAUUAGAGUGUUUAAAGCAGGCUAACGUCUGAAUACAUUAGCAUGGAAUAAUGAAAUAGGACGGACUGAUUCUAUUUCGUUGGUUUCUAGGAUCACCGUAAUGAUUAAUAGGGAUAGUUGGGGGCAUUAGUAUUCAAUUGUCAGAGGUGAAAUUCUUGGAUUUAUUGAAGACUAACUACUGCGAAAGCAUUUGCCAAGGAUGUUUUCAUUAAUCAAGAACGAAAGUUAGGGGAUCGAAGACGAUCAGAUACCGUCGUAGUCUUAACCAUAAACUAUGCCGACUAGGGAUCGGAUGAUGUUAAUUUUUUAAUGACUCAUUCGGCGCCUUACG